Molecule: ribosomal RNA, 301 nt
Filed under: uncultured bacterium
Lineage: Bacteria
Description: partial 16S ribosomal RNA
Rfam family: Bacterial small subunit ribosomal RNA
Source: RNAcentral
CAGUAGCCGCGGGAAAACGUAGGUGGCAAGCGUUGUCCGGAAUUAUUGGGCGUAAAGGGCUCGCAGGCGGUUUCUUAAGUCUGAUGUGAAAGCCCCCGGCUCAACCGGGGAGGGUCAUUGGAAACUGGGAAACUUGAGUGCAGAAGAGGAGAGUGGAAUUCCACGUGUAGCGGUGAAAUGCGUAGAGAUGUGGAGGAACACCAGUGGCGAAGGCGACUCUCUGGUCUGUAACUGACGCUGAGGAGCGAAAGCGUGGGGAGCGAACAGGAUUAGAGACCCCCGUAGUCCCUGUCUCUUAUAC